RNAcentral lists this transfer RNA (68 nucleotides) under Apodemus agrarius (Eurasian field mouse). RNAcentral describes it as "tRNA-Trp". Lineage: Eukaryota; Metazoa; Chordata; Mammalia; Rodentia; Muridae. The record is from RNAcentral.
AGAAGUUUAGGAUAUAUGCAGUCCAAGAGCCUUCAAAGCCCUAAGAAAACAAACAGGUUUAACUUCUG